UUCAUCAUAAGCUUUCAUCUUCUAAUGAACUCCGUUGUUAUGAUGAAGUCCUUAGGACUAUUUAGGUUCGAUAAAGAGAGGAUUUAUCAAUUAGUCCUUAAAACUGUUCACGACCAAAUGAUAGGCUGUUAAUAAGGACGACAGCUUCUAUCGAGCAUAGGUCGCUGUAGGCCAUAUGGGUUGGUUGUCCUCUUAACCAAAGAGUGUGGAGACA
RNAcentral lists this long non-coding RNA (214 nucleotides) under Elaeis guineensis (African oil palm). RNAcentral's name for it is "long non-coding RNA (EGUI_LNC076297)". Lineage: Eukaryota; Viridiplantae; Streptophyta; Magnoliopsida; Arecales; Arecaceae. The record is from RNAcentral.